GCCCGGCGCUCGGCAGCCGCCCGCAGCCCCUCGGAGCCAGAGGAGAGGCGCCCCCGCCGGCCGCCGCGCCGCCCGGCAGCCUCGGCAGGUUCUGCCGGAGACUUCCAUUUGGCCUCAAUGUGAAAUUAAAGUAGAAAAUCACAUCUACAUGCAUGUUGCUAUCAGGAUGUUGAUUCAUUAGUCAUGCCUGAAGAGGGAAAGUCUGUUUUAGGUGGCUGACUACCAGCAAAAAUAAAUGCUUAUCCUACAUGUCAAGCAUCUCUACUUUUUACUGGAGUGAAAAUCCCCUCCAGAUACCAACAGAAUAUCAACUGCAGAAAAUGCUUCACAUUUUAAGGAUGUCGGCAACCUAAAUUCAUGUACCCUAUCUGUACAGUUGUUGUGGAUGGUUUGCCAUCUGAAAGCUCCUCAAGUUCUUAUCCAGGCCCUGUGUCUGUUUCUGAAAUGUCUCUGCUUCAUGCUUUGGGUCCAGUGCAGACCUGGCUGGGACAAGAGCUCGAGAAAUGUGGCAUUGAUGCCAUGAUUUACACUCGGUAUGUCCUCAGUCUUCUGCUGCAUGACAGCUAUGACUACGACCUGCAGGAACAGGAGAAUGACAUCUUCCUGGGCUGGGAAAAAGGAGCUUAUAAGAAAUGGGG
Molecule: long non-coding RNA, 638 nt
Filed under: Homo sapiens (human)
Lineage: Eukaryota; Metazoa; Chordata; Mammalia; Primates; Hominidae
Description: long non-coding RNA NONHSAT198239.1
Source: RNAcentral